RNAcentral lists this long non-coding RNA (1031 nucleotides) under Salmo salar (Atlantic salmon). RNAcentral describes it as "lncRNA (ENSSSAG00000122052.1)". The record is from RNAcentral. Lineage: Eukaryota; Metazoa; Chordata; Actinopteri; Salmoniformes; Salmonidae.
CAGACCCAGCUACUCUGAUACUGUUACUGACAGACCCAGUUACUCUGAUACUGUUACUGAUAGACCCAGCUACUCUGAUACUGUUACUGACAGACCCAGCUACUCUGAUAAUGUUACUGACAGACCCAGUUACUCUGAUACUGUUACUGACAGACCCAGCUACUCUGACACUGUUACUGACAGACCCAGCUACUCUGAUACUGUUACUGACAGACCCAGUUACUCUGAUACUGUUACUGACAGACCCAGCUACUCUGACACUGUUACUGACAGACCCAGCUACUCUGAUACUGUUACUGACAGACCCAGCUACUCUGAUACUGUUACUGGCAUAACAAUAAUCCCAACCCUUUUCCUGGAUAUAAUGUGGUGUGGAACCCCUCUAACAUCUCCUAUGAUCUACUGAUUGAGAACAUCACUGAAUCUGACCUGGGACUCUACUACUGUGGGACUGUGGAGAACAAUGUAGUGGAUGAUGGAGACACCAGUCCUCCUGAGUCCUCCCCUCCUCCUGUAGACUGUGGGCUGUGUUGGAUGUUGCUGUUCAGUCUGUGUCCUGUGUCUGCUCUCCUCUCUCCUCUCCUCCACCUGUGUCUACUCCUUCUGCAGAACAACAGCUGCAACUGAGACGCGGGUUCCUCUGAACAAGACCACGACCAGGGGAAGAGGAAGGAGACCUGUUUAACGCCUCGUCAGGGACAGAGGAGACCAAAGAAGAAGAAGAAGAGACCUAUACCAUCCAUCAAUACCAGCAGAGUGAGACCUAUACCAUCCAUCAAUACCAGCAGAGUGAGACCUAUACCAUCCAUCAAUACCAGCAGAGUGAGACCUAUACCACCCAUCAAUACCAGCAGAGUGUGAGACCUAUACCAUCCAUCAAUACCAGCAGAGUGAGACCUAUACCAACCAUCAAUACCAGCAGAGUGAGACCUAUACCAUCCAUCAAUACCAGCAGAGUGUGAGACCUAUACCAUCCAUCAAUACCAGCAGAGUGAGACUUAUACCAUCCAUCAAUACCAGCAGAGUGAGAC